This 429-nucleotide ribosomal RNA is filed under the name Chloroflexota bacterium. RNAcentral's name for it is "Chloroflexi bacterium partial 16S ribosomal RNA". It matches the Rfam family "Bacterial small subunit ribosomal RNA", at positions 355 to 776 of the family's 1533-position model. Lineage: Bacteria; Bacillati; Chloroflexota. The record is from RNAcentral.
UGGGGAAUAUUGCACAAUGGGCGCAAGCCUGAUGCAGCCAUGCCGCGUGUAUGAAGAAGGCCUUCGGGUUGUAAAGUACUUUCAGCGGGGAGGAAGGGAGUAAAGUUAAUACCUUUGCUCAUUGACGUUACCCGCAGAAGAAGCACCGGCUAACUCCGUGCCAGCAGCCGCGGUAAUACGGAGGGUGCAAGCGUUAAUCGGAAUUACUGGGCGUAAAGCGCACGCAGGCGGUUUGUUAAGUCAGAUGUGAAAUCCUCGGGCUCAACCUGGGAACUGCAUCUGAUACCGGCAAGCUUGAGUCUCGUAGAGGGGGGUAGAAUUCCAGGUGUAGCGGUGAAAUGCGUAGAGAUCUGGAGGAAUACCGGUGGCGAAGGCGGCCCCCUGGACGAAGACUGACGCUCAGGUGCGAAAGCGUGGGGAGCAAACAGG